CCUACGGGUGGCAGCAGUGGGGAAUAUUGCGCAAUGGGCGAAAGCCUGACGCAGCGACGCCGCGUGAGGGACGAAGGUCUUCGGAUCGUAAACCUCUGUCAGCAGGGAAGAAAGGUCACUGGGUUAAUCCGCAGUGAAUUGACGGUACCUGCAAAGGAAGCACCGGCUAACUCCGUGCCAGCAGCCGCGGUAAUACGGAGGGUGCGAGCGUUAAUCGGAAUUACUGGGCGUAAAGCGCUCGUAGGCGGUAUGUGAAGUCACGGGUGAAAUCCCCGGGCUCAACGUGGGAACUGCCUUUGAAACUGGCAGACUGGAGUGUGUGAGAGGAUGGUGGAAUGCCAGGUGUAGGGGUGAAAUGCGUAGAUAUC
RNAcentral lists this ribosomal RNA (368 nucleotides) under uncultured bacterium. RNAcentral's name for it is "partial 16S ribosomal RNA". It matches the Rfam family "Bacterial small subunit ribosomal RNA", at positions 338 to 698 of the family's 1533-position model. The record is from RNAcentral.